RNAcentral lists this long non-coding RNA (469 nucleotides) under Triticum aestivum (bread wheat). Its description in RNAcentral is "long non-coding RNA (TAES_LNC009607)". The record is from RNAcentral. Lineage: Eukaryota; Viridiplantae; Streptophyta; Magnoliopsida; Poales; Poaceae.
CUCGGUUUAGUAUGUCUGCUCUACAUGUUCUUGCGAGAACUGGAUCCCCUUGUACUACGUGUUUGUGUCAUGCAGUGACGGCGAUGGCAUCUCCAGAAGAAGCACUAAGAUAGGUGGAGAAUAACUGACAGGUCUUAGACUUCUGCAUCUUCAUGACCGUCGUGUACGGCGGUGGUGGAGGAAUAGGAUUUGGUGGCUUUGACUGAGCGCAUCCAUUGUCGUUACCCAAUCAUCAGUGAGUCCUCGGCAUAGAUCAAGAUAUGCAUGGUUACUAUUAGGUUAGUGACAAUACAUUCUUAUAUAGAUAUGUAACCCUGCAUGUUGCAGUGUUCUCAAUCGGCGAUACCAGGAAGAUGGUGCGCUACCAAGAAAUAUGCAUGAUCUGGUUCCAUCUCAGGGAAAAGGGGCCAGAAGUGGAUGGCCUUGACGAGGGGCGCUACAAUGGCAACCAGCAGGGCUCCAAUGAAAU